GCCGGCGAUGGGCGCAGGCGGCGCCCGGCCCAGGAGCUGAGCCCGCGCCAACCCUUCCCUCCUGCCGCUCUCUCCAGCUGGCAGAGGACAGGAGCCGAGCGGCCGAGCACCUGCGCCGGGCGCUGCACUACCUGCAGAGCUCACAGGAGUCCCUGCGAGAGGCGGCCGUCAGGUUCAUGGGCAUGGCCGGGCGGCACCUGAGGGGGCAGCAGCAAGAGCUCCAGCUGAUCUGCACGGCCCUUGAAGGAAUGGCGUAUGACAGCAGUCCUGCAAUCAGAGAUGCUGCAGUAGAAUUUUGUGUAGUUCUCCGGGCUCUUGAGAGAGCUCCCUACUCCCCAUGGCAGAAGCUGCGAGAUCGAUUCCGCAGUGCAUGGAGGAAACGGCCUCGUCUU
Molecule: long non-coding RNA, 392 nt
Organism: Zonotrichia leucophrys gambelii
Lineage: Eukaryota; Metazoa; Chordata; Aves; Passeriformes; Passerellidae
Exons: 3
Source: RefSeq, a predicted model, not a curated record